This 253-nucleotide ribosomal RNA is filed under the name uncultured bacterium. Its description in RNAcentral is "partial 16S ribosomal RNA". It matches the Rfam family "Bacterial small subunit ribosomal RNA", at positions 524 to 776 of the family's 1533-position model. The record is from RNAcentral.
UACAGGGGGGGCAAGCGUUAUUCGGAAUUAUUGGGCGUAAAGGGCGCGUAGGCGGCUUGGCAAGUGGAAGGUGAAAUCCCUCGGCUUAACCGAGGAACUGCCCUCCAAACUGCUUCGCUUGAGACCGGGAGAGGUGAGUGGAAUUCCCAGUGUAGCGGUGAAAUGCGUAGAUAUUGGGAGGAACACCAGUGGCGAAGGCGGCUCACUGGACCGGUACUGACGCUGAUGCGCGAAAGCGUGGGGAGCAAACGGG